Molecule: long non-coding RNA, 335 nt
Filed under: Ananas comosus (pineapple)
Lineage: Eukaryota; Viridiplantae; Streptophyta; Magnoliopsida; Poales; Bromeliaceae
Description: long non-coding RNA (ACOM_LNC001443)
Source: RNAcentral
UAUUAUUUAUUUAUUUUCAGAGGAUAUUUCUGAUAGUGUUUGAAUAUUUAUGUUAGAAUAAGAUAUUAAAUUGAUAAAAGUUAAAUAAAAUAAUAAUUUUGUCCUUGAAUAUUAUAUAAAAUAUAAGUCAAUGUAUGAAAAUAAAAAUAAAAUUAAUAUAUAAAGAUAUAAUUAUAAAUAUAAAUAUGAAAAUAUAAUUUUAAUUUUAUAAUAUAACAAAUAAUUAAAGUUGUAUAUUAUUAUAUAAUUUUAAAUAUGGAAGAGCAGAUUACUUUAGAAAUUUUAGUAUUUAUUUAAAUUUAUUCGAAAUUAAUUAAAAUUAGAGUAUAAAUGUU